This 374-nucleotide long non-coding RNA is filed under the name Nicotiana benthamiana. RNAcentral's name for it is "long non-coding RNA (NBEN_LNC030679)". Lineage: Eukaryota; Viridiplantae; Streptophyta; Magnoliopsida; Solanales; Solanaceae. The record is from RNAcentral.
AAAAGAGAGCCCAAAACAAAAAGAAAGAAGAGAGAAGAAAGAAGAAAGAAGAAAGAAGGAAAAAAAAAUUGGACAGAGUCACAGAACAGAAACUCGAAGAAAGAAGAAAGGAGAAGAAGAAAGAAUAAAAGAGAUGAAGGGAAGCAUACCUGAUGAAGAAAGAAGAAAGAAAAUCGCUGGUCUGCGGUAGGUUUGCCAUCGACUUGAAGGAGAAAGAGUAGAGAAAUCGCGAGCUCCAAUUUUCUGUCGGUAGGUUUGCUGUCGACUUGAAGGAGAAAGAGUACAGAAAUCGCGAGCCCUAACUUUUUGUUUUAACAGAUCGCUGCUACUGCCUUCUUCUUUUCUUUUUAGCAAAAAGCAACGCUACAGCUUGC